ACGUAGGGGGCAAGCGUUGUCCGGAUUUAUUGGGCGUAAAGAGCGUGUAGGCGGCUAGGUAGGUCCGUUGUGAAAACUCGAGGCUCAACCUCGAGACGUCGAUGGAAACCAUCUGGCUAGAGUCCGGAAGAGGAGAGUGGAAUUCCUGGUGUAGCGGUGAAAUGCGCAGAUAUCAGGAAGAACACCCGUGGCGAAGGCGGCUCUCUGGUACGUGACUGACGCUGAGACGCGAAAGCGUGGGGAGCAAACAGGA
Molecule: ribosomal RNA, 253 nt
Filed under: uncultured prokaryote
Description: partial 16S ribosomal RNA
Rfam family: Bacterial small subunit ribosomal RNA
Source: RNAcentral